RNAcentral lists this ribosomal RNA (253 nucleotides) under uncultured bacterium. Its description in RNAcentral is "partial 16S ribosomal RNA". It matches the Rfam family "Bacterial small subunit ribosomal RNA", at positions 524 to 776 of the family's 1533-position model. The record is from RNAcentral.
UACGGAGGGGGCUAGCGUUGUUCGGAAUUACUGGGCGUAAAGGGCUCGUAGGCGGUCAACUAAGUCAUACGUGAAAUCCCUCAGCUUAACUGGGGAACUGCGUGUGAUACUGGAUGGCUUGGAUUUGGGAGAGGGAUGCGGAAUUCCAGGUGUAGCGGUGAAAUGCGUAGAUAUCUGGAGGAACACCGGUGGCGAAGGCGGCAUCCUGGACCAAUAUUGACGCUGAGGAGCGAAAGCUAGGGGAGCAAACGGG